AACGAACGCUGGCGGCAGGCCUAACACAUGCAAGUCGAGCGAGGUAGCAAUACCUAGCGGCGGACGGGUGAGUAACGCGUGGGAACGUGCCCUUUGCUACGGAAUAGCCCUGGGAAACUGGGAGUAAUACCGUAUGUGCCCUUCGGGGGGAAAGAUUUAUCGGCAAAAGGAUCGGCCCGCGUUGGAUUAGGUAGUUGGUGGGGUAAUGGCCUACCAAGCCGACGAUCCAUAGCUGGUUUGAGAGGAUGAUCAGCCACACUGGGACUGAGACACGGCCCAGACUCCUACGGGAGGCAG
RNAcentral lists this ribosomal RNA (297 nucleotides) under uncultured Pseudomonadota bacterium. Its description in RNAcentral is "uncultured proteobacterium partial 16S ribosomal RNA". It matches the Rfam family "Bacterial small subunit ribosomal RNA", at positions 29 to 351 of the family's 1533-position model. The record is from RNAcentral. Lineage: Bacteria; Pseudomonadati; Pseudomonadota.